UAGGGAAUCUUCGGCAAUGGGGGGAACCCUGACCGAGCAACGCCGCGUGAGUGAAGAAGGUUUUCGGAUCGUAAGCUCUGUUGUUAAGGAAGAACGAGUGUGAGAAUGGAAAGUUCAUACUGUGACGGUACUUAACCAGAAAGGGACGGCUAACUACGUGCCAGCAGCCGCGGUAAUACGUAGGUCCCGAGCGUUGUCCGGAUUUAUUGGGCGUAAAGCGAGCGCAGGCGGUUAGAUAAGUCUGAAGUUAAAGGCAGUGGCUCAACCAUUGUAGGCUUUGGAAACUGUUUAACUUGAGUGCAGAAGGGGAGAGUGGAAUUCCAUGUGUAGCGGUGAAAUGCGUAGAUAUAUGGAGGAACACCGGUGGCGAAAGCGGCUCUCUGGUCUGUAACUGACGCUGAGGCUCGAAAGCGUGGGGAGCGAACAGG
Molecule: ribosomal RNA, 428 nt
Filed under: Bacteroidota bacterium
Lineage: Bacteria; Pseudomonadati; Bacteroidota
Description: Bacteroidetes bacterium partial 16S ribosomal RNA
Rfam family: Bacterial small subunit ribosomal RNA
Source: RNAcentral